This 62-nucleotide transfer RNA is filed under the name Sclomina parva. RNAcentral describes it as "tRNA-Ala". The record is from RNAcentral. Lineage: Eukaryota; Metazoa; Arthropoda; Insecta; Hemiptera; Reduviidae.
GGGGUUGUAGUUAACCAUAACAUUUAAUUUGCAAUUAAAAGGUACUUAAUAAGUCUACCUCA